AACACAUGCAAGUCGAGCGGAUGACGGGAGCUUGCUCCUUGAUUCAGCGGCGGACGUGGUGAGUAAUGCCUAGGAAUCUGCCUGGUAGUGGGGGACAACGUUUCGAAAGGAACGCUAAUACCUGCAUACGUCCUACGGGAGAAAUGCAUGUGGUGACCUUCGUGGCCUUGCGCUAUCAGAUGAGCCUAGGUCGUGAUUAGCUAGUUGGUGAGGUAAUGGCUCACCAAUGGCGACGAUCCGUAACUGGUCUGAGAGGAUGAUCAGUCACACUGGAACUGAGACACGGUCCAGACUCCUACGGGAGGCAGCAGUGGGGAAUAUUGGACAAUGGGCGAAAGCCUGAUCCAUGCCAUGCCGCGUGUGUGAAUGAAGGUCUUCGGCAUUGUACAAGCACUUUAAGUUGGGAGGAAGG
Molecule: ribosomal RNA, 412 nt
Filed under: uncultured bacterium
Lineage: Bacteria
Description: bacterial SSU rRNA
Rfam family: Bacterial small subunit ribosomal RNA
Source: RNAcentral